Molecule: ribosomal RNA, 218 nt
Filed under: uncultured bacterium
Lineage: Bacteria
Description: partial 16S ribosomal RNA
Rfam family: Bacterial small subunit ribosomal RNA
Source: RNAcentral
ACGCUCGACACCUACGAGAGGCAGCAGUGAGGAAUAUUGGUCAAUGGGCGCAGGCCUGAACCAGCCAAGUAGCGUGAAGGAUGACUGCCCUAUGGGUUGUAAACUUCUUUUAUAUGGGAAUAAAGUUUUCCACGUGUGGAAUUUUGUAUGUACCAUAUGAAUAAGGAUCGGCUAACUCCGUGCCGGCAGCCGCGGUAAUCUGAGCGGGCUGGCAAGGC